AUGAACGCUGGCGGCGUGCCUAACACAUGCAAGUCGAGCGAAGCGGCGGACGGGUGAGUAACGCGUAGGCAACCUGCCUCAUGCAGAGGGAUAGCCUCGGGAAACUGGGAUUAAUACCUCAUAGCAUGAGAUGGGCCUGCGUCUGAUUAGUUAGUUGGUGGGGUAACGGCCUACCAAGGCAACGAUCAGUAGCCGACCUGAGAGGGUAAUCGGCCACAUUGGAACUGAGACACGGUCCAAACUCCUACGGGAGGCAGCAGUGGGGAAUAUUGCACAAUGGGCGCAAGCCUGAUGCAGCAACGCCGCGUGAGCGAGGAAGGCUUUCGGGUCGUAAAGCUCUGUCCUUGGGGAAGCGGUACCCAAGGAGGAAGCCCCGGCUAACUACGUGCCAGCAGCCGCGGUAAUACGUAGGGGGCAAGCGUUAUCCGGAACUAUUGGGCGUAAAGAGUACGUAGGUGGUUUUGUAAGCGCGGGGUGAAAGGCAGUGGCUUAACCAUUGUUAGCCUUGCGAACUGCAAGACUUGAGUGCAGGAGAGGGAAGCGGAAUUCCUAGUGUAGCGGUGAAAUGCGUAGAUAUUAGGAGGAACACCAGUGGCGAAGGCGGCUUUCUGGACUGUAACUGACACUGAGGUACGAGAGCGUGGGGAGCAAACAGGAUUAGAUACCCUGGUAGUCCACGCCGUAAACGAUGAGCACUAGGUGUCGGGCGGUGCCGGAGUUAACGCAUUAAGUGCUCCGCCUGGGGAGUACGCACGCAAGUGUGCAAGUCAA
Molecule: ribosomal RNA, 771 nt
Filed under: uncultured bacterium
Lineage: Bacteria
Description: bacterial SSU rRNA
Rfam family: Bacterial small subunit ribosomal RNA
Source: RNAcentral